CGGAGGAAAAGAAACCAACAGGGAUUGCCUCAGUAACGGCGAGUGAAGCGGCAAAAGCUCAAAUUUGAAAUCUAGCACCUUCGGUGUUCGAGUUGUAAUUUGAAGAUGGUAACCUUGGGUUUGGCUCUUGUCUAUGUUCCUUGGAACAGGACGUCAUAGAGGGUGAGAAUCCCGUCUGAUGAGAUGCCCAUUCCUAUGUAAGGUGCUAUCGAAGAGUCGAGUUGUUUGGGAAUGCAGCUCUAAGUGGGUGGUAAAUUCCAUCUAAAGCUAAAUAUUGGCGAGAGACCGAUAGCGAACAAGUACAGUGAUGGAAAGAUGAAAAGAACUUUGAAAAGAGAGUGAAAAAGUACGUGAAAUUGUUGAAAGGGAAGGGCAUUAGAUCAGACUUGGUGUUUUACGAUUAUCUUCUCUUCUUGAGUUGUGCACUCGUAUUUCACUGGGCCAGCAUCGAUUCGGAUGGCAAGAUAAUGGCAGUUGAAUGUGGCUUCACUUCGGUGGAGUGUUAUAGCUUCUGCUGAUAUUGCCUGUCUGGAUCGAGGGCUGCGUCUUUUGACUAGGAUGCUGGCGUAAUGAUCUAAUGCCGCCCGUCUUGA
Molecule: ribosomal RNA, 593 nt
Filed under: Hansenula anomala
Lineage: Eukaryota; Fungi; Ascomycota; Saccharomycetes; Phaffomycetales; Wickerhamomycetaceae
Description: eukaryotic LSU rRNA
Rfam family: Eukaryotic large subunit ribosomal RNA
Source: RNAcentral